UGAGAGUUUGAUCCUGGCUCAGAGCGAACGCUGGCGGCAGGCUUAACACAUGCAAGUCGAGCGGGUGUAGCAAUACAUCAGCGGCAGACGGGUGAGUAACGCGUGGGAACGUACCUUUUGGUUCGGAACAACCCAGGGAAACUUGGGCUAAUACCGGAUACNCCCUUACGGGGAAAGAUUUAUCGCCGAAAGAUCGGCCCGCGUCUGAUUAGCUAGUUGGUGAGGUAAUGGCUCACCAA
RNAcentral lists this ribosomal RNA (239 nucleotides) under unidentified proteobacterium. RNAcentral's name for it is "16S rRNA". It matches the Rfam family "Bacterial small subunit ribosomal RNA", at positions 1 to 271 of the family's 1533-position model. Lineage: Bacteria; Pseudomonadati; Pseudomonadota. The record is from RNAcentral.